AAAAUCCAAGUCAAACCAAGUAAGUCCUAAAUAGUCACUAUCCACUUAAAUUUUAGUACCUCAAAAUUAAAAUCUUAAAUCUAGUACUCAAUUGAGACUAUAGUACUCUUUACUCAACAAACUAAAAGCAAUGUUUGUAGACUCAAAAGCCAAUAAUGACCUCGCCAAAAGAACCAAAGAGCUUGAUGGUUGAUGGUCAGUGCAUGUCCUAAAGCAAGUACAACACAGUGAUCAUCAGUACCUGAGAUUUUAAGUUUAAUUAAAUUCUAAUUAGUUCAUAUUUUCAACUACGUUUAAUUUUUAAAAGAAAAUGAAUGAAGCAGCAGCAUGUUAUCAUUCUCGCAAAAGAAAAAAAAAAAAUCAAUCAAUAUCAA
RNAcentral lists this long non-coding RNA (374 nucleotides) under Ananas comosus (pineapple). RNAcentral describes it as "long non-coding RNA (ACOM_LNC011308)". Lineage: Eukaryota; Viridiplantae; Streptophyta; Magnoliopsida; Poales; Bromeliaceae. The record is from RNAcentral.